GGUGUUGGACAUGAUGGCCCUUGGGGGUCCCUUCCUCCUCAGGAUAUUCUGAUUGCUGAACUGCUCUUACAGCUUUUCAAAACAUUCCUACUUGUUCUUUGCUGCAUCUGUUUGAAAGUGUCUUGAAGAUGAAGUUAUUUCCUGGAGGAAUUCUGGGGUCUGUCAUUCUGGUUUGCUGCACUGAAGUGAGACUGUGAGCUCUCUGAAGGAUGGGAUGUCUCCUCAUGCUCCCUCGCUGAAAGUCAGAGCCUCUGUCACAGGAAGCCAUGAGCACAGAGCAUGAGCCAGGAAUACUUGCUUGGCCCACAGUAAAGCAGCGCCUGCAGCAAGCCAGCAGAGAAACAUCCCAAGAUACAGAUUUGAUUACACAGAAGCUGAAUUUCAGAAUCACCUGAGCACCCAGCAUCUUUCUUUCUGCACCUGCUGUCAGUGAGGCCACUCUCUAUUAAGGUUUCAAGACAUACAAUCUAAAUAUCCUUACUAGAUGUGCCCAUUAAAAAAUAAAAGAGUGUCUUAUUCAUAGAUGAAUUAUUAA
This 535-nucleotide long non-coding RNA is filed under the name Coturnix japonica (Japanese quail). RNAcentral describes it as "lncRNA (ENSCJPG00005011471.1)". The record is from RNAcentral. Lineage: Eukaryota; Metazoa; Chordata; Aves; Galliformes; Phasianidae.